CCUGCCGUUGCCGGCGACCGGCGCACGGGUGAGUAACACGUAUGCAACCUGCCCGUGGCAGGGGGAUAAGCGGGGGAAACCCCGUCUAAUACCGCGUAACGCGGCCUAGGGACAUCCCAAGGCCGCCAAAGGGAGCAAUCCCGGCCACGGAUGGGCAUGCGGCGCAUUAGCUAGUCGGCGGGGUAACGGCCCACCGAGGCGACGAUGCGUAGGGGUUCUGAGAGGAAGGCCCCCCACACUGGUACUGAGACACGGACCAGACUCCUACGGGAGGCAGCAG
This 280-nucleotide ribosomal RNA is filed under the name uncultured bacterium. RNAcentral's name for it is "partial 16S ribosomal RNA". It matches the Rfam family "Bacterial small subunit ribosomal RNA", at positions 74 to 354 of the family's 1533-position model. The record is from RNAcentral.